This 570-nucleotide ribosomal RNA is filed under the name Didymocyrtis slaptonensis. RNAcentral describes it as "eukaryotic LSU rRNA". The stretch from base 221 to 374 matches the Rfam family "5.8S ribosomal RNA". The record is from RNAcentral. Lineage: Eukaryota; Fungi; Ascomycota; Dothideomycetes; Pleosporales; Phaeosphaeriaceae.
UUCCGUAGGUGAACCUGCGGAAGGAUCAUUACACUCAGUAGUUUACUACUGUAAAGGAGGCUGUUAGCCUGUAUAGCUUAAUCGCUGACGAGCAGCUGGUCUCUUUUCUCCACCCUUGUCUUUUGAGUACUUACGUUUCCUCGGCGGGCUUGCCUGCCGAAUGGACAAUUCUAUAACCUUUUUAAUCUUCAAUCAGCGUCUGACAAAAAGCAAUGAUUACAACUUUCAACAACGGAUCUCUUGGUUCUGGCAUCGAUGAAGAACGCAGCGAAAUGCGAUAAGUAGUGUGAAUUGCAGAAUUCAGUGAAUCAUCGAAUCUUUGAACGCACAUUGCGCCCCUUGGUAUUCCAUGGGGCAUGCCUGUUCGAGCGUCAUUUGUACCCUCAAGCAUUGCUUGGUGUUGGGUGUUUGUCCACUCCCUGUUGUUUGGACUCGCCUUAAAACAAUUGGCAGCCAGUGUUUUGGUAUUGAAGCGCAGCACAAUUUGCGGUUCUGGCCUAGUUACACUGGUGUCCAUAAGCCUUUUUCACGUUUGACCUCGGAUCAGGUAGGGAUACCCGCUGAACUUAA